CCAUGCCACUGGGUCGUGAGCUCGCCUGCGUAUGGGGGGGUGUCAUGGAGCCUCAUGCCCCUGGGUCGUGAGCUCGCCUGCGUAUGGGGGGGUGUCAUGGAGCCUCAUACCCCUGGGUCGUGAGCUCGCCUGCGUAUGGGGGGAUGUCAUGGAGCCUCAUACCCCUGGGUUGUGAGCUCGCCUGCGUAUGGGGGUCUGUCAUGGAACAUCCCAAGUCUGUGCAGCAGGGAGCCCCAUGCCCCUGGGACAUGAACCCACCUGCGUGGAAUGCUGUUUGUGAGGUGCCUACAGGGCUUAUAGUAGUCUUACGGACACAGAAAUGCACAGGGGACACUUAUGGACACAGAAAUGCACAGGGGAGGCCGAGCAUAAAUGGGUGAGGGGCAGGCAGCAGUUGUCACUGCCAUGGGGCACUGCUACAUGCAGGGACAGCCAGCGCCCAGCCCAUCACCACUCCCUGGGCUGGCUGGCAGGUAUGGCACCCUGGGAGCCCGGCAUAUGCCCAGGGCACCCCUACAGCUGCCGCCAGUGUCAUGCCCAGGCGGAUGCUCUGGGCUGGAGCGAGGGCCAGGUUUUGGGUCGAGGCUUCCCCAGGCAAUCCUGCGAGCUCCCUUCUAGCCUCUGACCCAGUCUGGUCUGGCUUGCAUGGAUGUAGGGCUUGGGAUGGGAAGUUCAGGUCCUGGCUUUGCCUUUGACUGAUGUGGAUGAGCAGCUCACAUGCUCAGGGCCAUCUGAGACUGUCACUGUUGUCCCCUGGCUAUUGGGAGGAGUCACUGAGAGCUUCGUUACCCCUGCUGCCUUGCUCAGGGCACACCCUGUACCUCCUCAUCUGCUCUUCCUCCCCCGCCGCCGCCUCCUGGGCAAGUGGCGCUCCCUGGCCUCUUCCCCUGGCUGAUCGCCCUCCCCCAGGCAGUGGAGAUCCGCGUCUGGACACCCUCAGAGCCUGUCAUUUCCUGCCCAGAGUCCUUCAGGGCCACCCCUCUGCCUUGGUGUGGGGUCCAGGGCUCUCACCCAGGUGCCGCGCCAUCUGGGGUCUCCUGUCCAGCUCCCUUGCCCCACGUGCUGUCACUGACUCUCCUUGGGACUCGCCUGCCUGCUCAGAGCCCUGCAGGGCCUGGUCAGCUGCCUGUUGAGUGUCAGCACUUCGCUGCACCUCUUAGAACUGGGCUUUAUUUUUGCUGAAGGAACUGUGUUGGGACCCUUGACAUCUGUCAGGUUUGCACACGCUGUUUUCUUUCUCAGCCCACGUGUUCUCCCCCACAUGGGGCAGCAGCAGGACAGAGAGUGAAUCACAGAGUCUGCCCUGAGCAGAGGCUGCUGUCCCUGGGACUCCUAGCCACGGUCAGAUCACUGUACACAACAGUUUUCCAGAAAUGAAAUGUAAAUCCAUUUUUAUACUGAAAAUGUUACUGAAAGUCACUUUUAUGAGCAACUACCUUAAUAAACAGACAUCGACUCCCUUAUCA
This is an RNA transcript of Nomascus leucogenys (northern white-cheeked gibbon), 1466 nucleotides long. RefSeq lists it as uncharacterized. The transcript has a single exon. Lineage: Eukaryota; Metazoa; Chordata; Mammalia; Primates; Hylobatidae. The record is from RefSeq and is a predicted model, not a curated record.